UCCCGUUGAUCCUGCGGGAGAUUGCUGCUGUUGGGAUUCGACUAAGCCAUGCAAGUCUUCUAGCAAUAGAGGCAAAAGGCUCAGUAACACGUCAGUAAUCUGCCCUAUGGUCAGGAAUAACUUCGCGAAAGUGAAGGUAAAACCUGAUAGGGAACAAGCCCUGGAACGGGCUUUUCCUCAAACUCGUGCCAUAGGAUGAGCUGGCGGCGGAUUAGGUUGUUGGCGGUGUAACGGACCACCAAGCCGAAGAUCCGUACGGGCCAUGAGAGUGGUAGCCCGGAGAGGGACACUGAGAUACUGGUCCCAGCCCCACGGGGUGCAGCAGGCGCGAAACCUUUACAAUGCACGCAAGUGUGAUAGGGGGAUCCCAAGUGCUUAACAUUGUUAGGCUUUUGCCAAGUUUAAACUGCUUGGCGAAUAAGGGGUGGGUAAGACUGGUGCCAGCCGCCGCGGUAACACCAGCGCCCCGAGUGGCAAUCGCGAUUAUUGGGCCUAAAGCGUCCGUAGCAGGUUUUGUAAAUCUUUUGUGAAAUCGGCAGGCUUAACCUGUCGGCGUGCAGAAGACACUGCAAGACUCGAGACCGGGAGAAGUCAGAAGUAUUCCUUGGGUACCGGUAAAAUGGGUUAAUCCAAGGAGGACUACCAAUGGCGAAGGCAUCUGACUAGAACGGAUCUGACUGUGAGGGACGAAAGCCAGGGGAGCAAAACGGAUUAGAUACCCGAGUAGUCCUGGCCGUAAACGCUGCGAGCAAGGUAUUGCGCAUCCCACGAGGAUGUGCAGUGUCGAAGAGAAGUCGUUAAGCUCGCCGCCAGGGAAGUACGGUCGCAAGGCUGAAACUUUAAGGAAUUGGCGGGGAGACACCACAAGGGGUGCGGCGUGCGGUUCAAUCUAACUCAACGCAGAGAACCUCACUAGGCCCGACGGCAGAAUGAAGGUCAUGCUGAAGACAUUACCUGACAAGCCGAGAGGUAGUGCAUGGCCAUCGCCAGCUCGUGCUGUGAAGUGUCCAGUUAAGUCUGGCAACGAGCGAGACCUGCACCCUCUAUUGCUAACAACAUCUCCGGAUGGAUUGAGCACUUUGAGGGGACCGCCUCGGAAACGGGGAGGAAGGUGCAGGCUACGGUAGGUCUGUAUGCUCCGAAUGGUCUAGGCUACACGCGCGCAACAAUGGUAUGGACAAUGGGAUGCCACUCCGAAAGGAGGAGCUAAACCUCUAAACCAUAUCUUAGUUCAGAUCGAGGCUUGAAACUCAGCCUCGUGACGCUGGAAUCCCUAGUAAUCGGGUAUCAUCAUUGCCCGGUGAAUAUGUCCCUGUCUCUUGCACACACCGCCCGUCAAACCAACCGAGCAGGGUUUAGGUGAACCUCGACUUUUUUGGUCGUGCUGAACCUGAGCUCAGUGAGGUGGGUUAAGUCGUCACAAGGUC
Molecule: ribosomal RNA, 1427 nt
Filed under: metagenome
Description: bacterial SSU rRNA
Rfam family: Archaeal small subunit ribosomal RNA
Source: RNAcentral